UAUCUAAUCAUCAAUAAAAAUCAUAAUCAUUAGAUACAUCCAUCAAUUUUGCACAUCCAAAGCAUCAGAAACAAUCUACAUAACAGUUCUCAGCUUACAAGGAUAACCAUCAGUUUUGCAUAUCCAAAGCAAUACAAGCAAAGUACAUCAUAGUUCAUCUAAAGUCUUGCAACUACCAAAAUGCUACCUUGUUGCAAACACCACCUUUAGUUCUAAAGUCUUGCAACUAGCAAAAUGCUGCUUUGUUGCCAACACCAACAUUAAUUCUAAAGUCUGGCUCCAAGUCAACAAAAGGCACUACCAAGGUUACAACAACCAUCUAUGAUUCUAGGUCUCAGUUUCACGAAUGUUAUAACUAGUGUCGCCACCACCAGCACUAACAUUGUUGUCACUGGUAUUCCCACUGGAGUUGUCAGCACCACCAUUUGCACCCAGAUCAUCAUCACCAGUGUUGUCAUCGGUGGCUUGGGGUCUCAUAUGAGAUGAAUUAGGUGUCCCCUACAUCAUAGCAUUAAUUUAGACACCAGGAGAGCUUAUGGAGUAUUUUCUUUUAAAAGAAAAAUAGCAAAAUAAGUAGUAGUUAACUGUACAAUAAACUGGAUAUGUUCCUCAGUUGGUAAAGGAAUUGUUGAGACUGAAAAUAUACAAUAUUCUAAGUAUAUAUCUAGAUAUGAGGAUGUACAGUCCUGUAGCACAGGAAUGACACAAAGGUUAAAAUUAUUUCUUUAAAAUCUUCUCAUGGACUGGAUUGGCAUUGUAGCUUAGGGUUGCGUGUCAGUUUAAUAUAAUAUAAAAAAAUUAAUCGUGAGCAGGCCUAGUACAAGAAUAAUUUUUGCUGAUGGUUAAGAAAAUCGGGUUUGCACAGCAUUAACUUGUCACAGAACCUCAAGAAAAUCGGGUUUGCAUAGCAUUAACUUGGCACAGCAUUAAAUGGAUCCAACCACGCUGAGUGUAGGUUUGGGUGCACCAUGGUCCAGAAAAUCAUGUGUGUAUAGAUAUUCCAAUGAUUAAGAUACGAAGCUUUAAGAUAUCAAUGUUUCAAUUGGGAAAUCUAGUAUGCCGAGAAGGCUAUGUGCAAAAACUUACAUGUGGUUGGGAACUCGCUCCUUGGUGUAGCUCCAUUGGUAGUUCUUUUCCCAUCUCCUUAAAAAGGGCCUAUGAAAAAAAUAUGCAUCAUUAGAAUAGCUAGUUUUUUCAAUCACCAAUCUGAAAUAUGUGGACAAAUUUGAAAGUACCACUAGGAUCCGUUCAUGCAUAUCCACUUUAUGUUGCAGGUUCUCAUUAUGUCACUGCAGGUUCUCAUUAUGUCGCUUCAACUCUUCAUUUUCUUGAACAGUUCGUCGAUGUGCUGCUGAAGUUGACGGCCUCAAUUUCUUUUCUCUAGAUGUUGAGAUAACAUCAGCCUUCUUAAUCGCCCCAUCUGCUAUUGCUAGUCGCCCAUGGGGAAUGCCACCUAAUGAUUCAUAUAAUAUUUGCCCAUCCAACUCUCGCUGCUCCCAAUCAUCAGGAUGUGCGGCUCUAGCCAAAUCAGAGUAAUCAUCCUAGAAAACUAGCAAUAUUAACUUGUAUAGAUGCAUGUAGAACAAGUACUUAGUGAAAAGAAGAUAAGCAAGAACGUACAAAGCAUUUUUUUGCCUUCCCGCUGAGGGUCGUGCUGGUGCUACCACUGCCAUCCCAAUUCUUGAGUCCAGAUUUCAUUGCAGCAUAUGUAUUCAGCGUGGUAGCCUUCUCAGGUCCAUAUUUCUCAGCCUUCAAAACCAUAAAAAUUAAAUUAAUCCUAACCUGUUACAGUUUAUGAAAGAUAACAUACAUGCUUGACGCACCAGAAUUUGUCGAGCCUCCACAAAUGAAAGUGAACCUCCCCGAUUUUGAGCAACAUCUUCACUCUUGAAUCGGGAUUCCUACCCUCUCUUCCUUAAGGACUUGAACGUCUUUGAGCACCAAUAAGCACAAAGAUGAGGCCAUGCAUGUUCCUUAAACCAUGGUAUUCUGCACUCCAAGUAUUGGGCAUAUUCAAGUUCUUUUGAACAUGCCGAUGUGUCAUCAAGCCGCUCUCCUUGUUUCUCAAAGUAGAACUUCACAGCAUCCACACAAAGUUGAUACAUCGUGUCUCUCACUUUUUUCAUUGCGUAGUUGUCCAACACAAGAUCAGCAUCAUCCUCCACCUUGUCUAGAUCUUCAUCAUCUUUCACGUGGAUCUCAAACAAGUUCUACAAGUUUAUAGAUUUUCAUGUCAAAUAUGUAUGUGCAAUACAAAUUUUCAAAUUAACUCCCAAGUACCUGGAACUUACCCAAAAAACAUCCUUCACACGAUCUGCAGCAGCCUGCCCCUUAUCAUCUAGAGUAUCAUUAUCAUAAUAAUCAAACCACUCCAAAGCUGGGCGGGUUUUAAUGACAAUAUCACCUUCCUUCUUCUCAAUUAUCCCUGGGUGUUCUCGUUUAAGAAUGAUUCCAAGUUGCAUAUUAUACUUGUAGUGCUUGGAAUUUGGGUCAGCAUAUUUAAAUUUCCUAAACAACAAGAUAAGCACCAUUAACUAAGACGAUGAUAAUAUGAGUCAAGCAUAAAACUAACCAUGUGUUAAUAAACAACCAUACCUGUCACCUUCUGGCUUGUCCCACUUCCCAUAGUCCUUCAAUUUUAAGUGCAUCGAAGGACGGUUGCAAAUUUCAGCUAGAUCUUUUCUUGCCUUCACAUUAUCUUUAGUUUUAUCGGGAAUGUCAAAGCAUGUGUUAAAUAUAGCUUCAGCUGCAUUUCUUUCAUUGUGCAUCACAUCAAUGUUGUGUCGGAGCUUCAACUUUUUGAAGUAUGGAAGUUGCCAAAAGCAACUUAUGUGAGUCCAAUUGUGCAAUUUAUUGUAAUUGAAGGUGUCAUUCACAUGUGUGUACAUGUGAGUUUCCACUUCCUCUCCUGUUAAACACCUUGGUGGCCCUUCUAACACUAUUGUAUCCUUUCUAAAUGAAUUGGCUUGGAAUCUGAAUUCAUGAUCUGGAGGUAGAAAGUGCCUAUGACAAUCAAACCAGCAAGGCUUCCGCCCGUAUUGAAGAGUAAAUGCUUUGGAAUCACUCAUGCAUUCGGGGCAUGCUAGCUUGCCAUGGGUGCUCCACCCAGCAAACAUACCAAACGCAGGAAAGUCGUGGACUGACCAUAGAAAUGCCGCUUUCAUUGGGAAGUUUACCUUGUGAUAAGCAUCCCAUGUUUCAACCCCGUCCCACAAUUGCAUUAGUUCAUCAGCUAAAGGUUGCAUUAGGACACUCAAAUUUUUUCCAGGAUGUUCAGGACCAGGGAUAACAAGGCUAAGGAAUAUAUACUCUGGUUUCAAGAGAAUACCGGGUGGAAGGUUUAAUGGAGCUAUGAAAGUAGGCCAGCAAGUAUAUGGAGCAGCAUUCAACUUGUAUGGUGUAAAACCAUCACCAGCUAUGACAAGACGGACAUUUCUACGAUCUUCUGCAAAUUCUGAGAACUCCUUGUCAUACCCUUGCCAAGCUUCACCAUCAAUAGGGUGGACCAUCUUAUCAGAAUUGGAACGACUAUGCGACUGCAUAUGUUUUGCUAUUUCCUCAUGUGCAUACAACCUCUAUAAUCUAUCUUUCAGAGGGAGAUAUCUCAACACUUUACGUGGGACUUUAUUCUGGCCUUCCUCGUAGCGAGAUGUACCGCAGAUGUCACACUUCUCUUUAUGCUCAUUAUCUUUAUAGUACAACAUGCAAUUAUUUUUACAGACAUCAAUCUUGACAUAAGGCAUACCAAGGCCUUCUAAGAGUUUCUUAGAUUGGUAGAAGUCCUUGGACAAGUUAGCACCCGGAGGCAUAAGUUCAUGGAUGAUUUGUAACACAUCAUCAUAUUCUGCAAUUGACAUAUUAUACUGAGAUUUUAGUGCUAGCAAACGGGCUACUGCAGAAAGACGUGAGUGUGUUGUGUUCUCAUGGACAAUUUCAUCAGCACUGCUAACCAUCCUAUAGAAAGCCUUGGCAGAGGAGGUUGGUUCUUCAUCAAUUGGUGGAGGACAGUUGCCACCUAGGUCAACUAACAUAUUGUCCAUUCGGUCAAUUUCGUCGUGCCUCACACAAUUUGUGGCAGAGGAAGAUCCAUCUUGGCUAGGAACAUACUUCUCACCAUGUUCUAUCCACGUUUCAUAGUUUUCCCUAAACCCAUAUUUAUACAAGUGUUUCUCUACCUCAUCCCUGCCGCGCUUAUUAUAAUUAUGACACUUAGCACAUGGACACUUGAUUUUACCACAUUCGGCUACACCAGGACAAGAGAAUGCAUGGUCUAGAAAUCGGUUGGUUUGUUCAAGCCAUAAGUUAGAAGGUAUUUGACCAUACUGCCAACCACUAUACAUCCAUGCACAAUCUGCCAUCUAACAAAUUCUGUGUUGAAAGUGGAAUAUAUCAGCUAUUUGAUUAUUUAAUCUCAACACAUCAUACUUAAGAUGAGUUAUUCAGCAGCAGCAAUACAUGUGUAGCAAUUGGAAUCAAAUAGAUGUACACAUAAGAUAAACAUUUAAAGCUGAAAGUUAAAUGCUUACCAAAGGCUUGCUGAAAUAGUGAAAAAGUGUGGAGUCACCAAGCUGGCUAACAAACUCCCAAAGUCCACUAGCAGAUCCAAGAUCUAAGCCUAUUAUAGACAACAUAGCAAUUUAAGAGAGUUAGAAUAAGGAUGGUAGGAAAUGAAAAAGAAUUAUGCUCAAACAACAAUGGUAACAACAAAAUGUUGAAACCUUUGGUAAGCAUUAUAUUACAAAGAAACAAGAUAUGCAGUACUAUACAAUAUCCAUAACCAGAAAACAAGACAUGCAUAGGCUAUAUUUUAGAAAUCAGUCAAUUACUCAAGCAUGCAGUAACUAAAUACAAUGGCAAGGAAGAAAAGGUAAAAUAAUGAAAUAACAAGCUGCCUAUCAACAAAUCGAAAUAAUGAAUCGAACUGGUCAUUUCAUUUUACUUCCCAAGUGAAUUAGUACUAACUGUAUCAGUGCUAAAGUUGGAAGCUUGUGAUGUCAAUCUGCUGUAUUUCUUCAGAAAAGUAUUUUUUUACCUACAUGACCAAGCUAAGGCUAUUUUGCAAAAAUCUGCGAUGUCAGUUGACACCACAAAGAUGUGUGUAGACUCACCACUGCUACUGGAUUUCUGUCCUUGACAAAUCUACUACUGAUUUCUAGCAGUAGGAUGUGAACGAGAGAGAUCUACUAGCACAAGACAAGAGCAUGUAUAGUGGAGGAAGGGGCAGAAUGAAUUACGUACUGAGUUAAUAGCCAGCCAGUAGAGUGGAAACGCCCUGUGCUAGAUCCAAGCGAGCCUCACCACUUCCUGAACUAGGCAGAGGAUGAGAUGACUGAAAAAGGACACAUACAAAUCCAAUGAGGAACAUAAAGCACUUGCGUUUAGUGGAUAUGCACAAAGCCAGGGAAGUAAAUUGAAAGCAUUGGACAC
RNAcentral lists this long non-coding RNA (5427 nucleotides) under Triticum aestivum (bread wheat). RNAcentral describes it as "long non-coding RNA (TAES_LNC011261)". Lineage: Eukaryota; Viridiplantae; Streptophyta; Magnoliopsida; Poales; Poaceae. The record is from RNAcentral.